Long non-coding RNA from Polypterus senegalus (gray bichir), 397 nucleotides. RefSeq lists it as uncharacterized. Lineage: Eukaryota; Metazoa; Chordata; Cladistia; Polypteriformes; Polypteridae. The transcript has 3 exons. The record is from RefSeq and is a predicted model, not a curated record.
UGACUAUUCCAGCUGUACCUUGGGGGAUUACAUACCUCUAUUUUUGGAUUCUACUCCUCUAAAUCAGGAAAGAACAACUGCAUUUGUUGGUAGUCAAUUUGAGUUCAACAUCACUGCACAUGCAUCACAGGCAGAUGUUUCCAAUAUAAUGGUUACUGGCCCACUGAAUCUGAACAAAUCAUUCCAGUUUGAUACCAUGACAAGAACUGGUAGUGCAACUGUAAUGUGGACCCCAUCUGAAAAUGAAGUGGGCAACUAUAUACCAUUUUGUUUUACAGCAUGGGCUGCGGGACCGUAUCAGUCUGAGAUGAGAUGCAUAUUUGUGAAUGUAGUGCCUAAGACGCCCAAUGUGAGUAACAUGACGACUACGACACCCAGCAGUAAGUGCUGCUUUCUG